RNAcentral lists this ribosomal RNA (672 nucleotides) under Neobacillus soli. RNAcentral's name for it is "bacterial SSU rRNA". It matches the Rfam family "Bacterial small subunit ribosomal RNA", at positions 28 to 681 of the family's 1533-position model. Lineage: Bacteria; Bacillati; Bacillota; Bacilli; Caryophanales; Bacillaceae. The record is from RNAcentral.
GAAAGUCGCUACACGGGAACCCUAGUUUUUCAAGGGGAGCCGUCAAUGUUUAGCUUGGUCCCGUUGGUUAGCGGCGGACGGGUGAGUAACACGUGGGCAACCUGCCUGUAAGACUGGGAUAACUUCGGGAAACCGGAGCUAAUACCGGAUAAUUCUUUUCCUCACAUGAGGAAAAGCUGAAAGUCGGUUUCGGCUGACACUUACAGAUGGGCCCGCGGCGCAUUAGCUAGUUGGUGAGGUAACGGCUCACCAAGGCGACGAUGCGUAGCCGACCUGAGAGGGUGAUCGGCCACACUGGGACUGAGACACGGCCCAGACUCCUACGGGAGGCAGCAGUAGGGAAUCUUCCACAAUGGACGAAAGUCUGAUGGAGCAGCGCCGCGUGAGCGAUGAAGGCCUUCGGGUCGUAAAGCUCUGUUGUUAGGGAAGAACAAGUACCGGAGUAACUGCCGGUACCUUGACGGUACCUAACCAGAAAGCCACGGCUAACUACGUGCCAGCAGCCGCGGUAAUACGUAGGUGGCAAGCGUUGUCCGGAAUUAUUGGGCGUAAAGCGCGCGCAGGCGGUCCUUUAAGUCUGAUGUGAAAGCCCACGGCUCACCGUGGAGGGUCAUUGGAAAACUGGGGGACUUGGAGUGCAAAAAAGGAAAGCGGAAAUUCCACGUGUAACCG